GGCUCAGAUUGAACGCUGGCGGCAUGCCUAACACAUGCAAGUCGAACGGAGGUAGGGGCAACUCUACUUCAGUGGCGGACGGGUGAGGAAUGCGUCGGAAUAUACCCUAUGGUGGGGGAUAACACAGGGAAACUUGUGCUAAUACCGCAUAAUGUCGAGAGACCAAAGCAGGGGACCGCAAGGCCUUGCGCGAUAGGAUGAGCCGACGCCCGAUUAGCUAGUUGGUAGGGUAAAGGCCUACCAAGGCGACGAUCGGUAGCUGGUCUGAGAGGAUGAUCAGCCACACUGGGACUGAGACACGGCCCAGACUCCUACGGGAGGCAGCAGUGGGGAAUAUUGGACAAUGGGCGCAAGCCUGAUCCAGCAAUGCCGCGUGUGUGAAGAAGGCCUGCGGGUUGUAAAGCACUUUUGUUCGGGAAGAAAUCAUGCUGGUUAAUACCUGGUAUGGAUGACGGUACCGAAAGAAUAAGCACCGGCUAACUUCGUG
RNAcentral lists this ribosomal RNA (487 nucleotides) under uncultured bacterium. RNAcentral's name for it is "bacterial SSU rRNA". It matches the Rfam family "Bacterial small subunit ribosomal RNA", at positions 21 to 507 of the family's 1533-position model. The record is from RNAcentral.